UCUUUUCAAAAAAUGCCAGCUUACUGCUCGUGAGCAGCAUCUGUAUGAUGAACAGGCAGCUCUGCAUUUGCAAGGUCUCAUUCAUCUAGUUCCAGUCAGACACGCAACCAAUUUAAUUCACUGAGAGCUCUGACCAUUGGAGCAUUCACGCCUUUUAUUUUGUUGUAGCUGGGAUGUUGCUAGAGUGGUUGAAUUUUAUUUCAUCUACUUAACUAAAUUGGUGUUCUGUAGUACUAUCAUUUUAGCCAUGAAUGUGUUACCAUUUGUCUUGGUCAUUAAGAAUUUGUUUUGAGUUCUAUAUUCUGCUUCUUGCUGGUCCAAAAUAUUUCAGUAUGCUGCUCUGCCGAUUAGAAGUGUGCUGUUCUUUAGAACAUACUUACACCAAGACUCUGGAGUAAAUUUGGUGGAUUACUAGCAUUUGCUAGCAAUUUAUCAGGCCGUCUUGUUCAUUGCAUUCAAUGUAUAUAAUUUCCCUCACUAUCUUUUCCAGUUAUGCUUGCUGCUAAGGAAUGGUUGCUCCUUUCAUCAUUGUGGUCGCCCGUGCUGUAUCACCAUCAGAUCCUGUGUCUAUAUUUUGUCUUGCUCGACGAGUUAUCCAGCAAUACUAGUGCAUAGUAGAAAAUUAUCAUAGAUCCUGGCUGUAACCUGCUUUCGUGCUUUUGACUUUGGCCUGCAUGAUUUUGUGGGGAUGUGGUACCAGACUAGAGGGUAGAGGCUGACGAUUUCUUGCUGUUUCAGUCAAGUGCUGUUCUUGGUGGAGUUGCGCCUCCGGUGCGCUCUUCGGGCUGCUCGGAGCCAUGCUGUCAGAGCUCUUCAUCAACUGGGCCAUCUACACCAACAAGGAGGGUGCAUCUCCAACCAAUUCUGCAGCGGUAGCAGCACCAGCAGUACUUCGUUCUGAAAAUCCGUCAAGUUUCUCUGGAAUUUGGUUAACCUUGUUGAAAUUAUAUGCUCUGGAAUUUGUGAUUCUGUGCACAACCAGUGGAUUGCUGCAUGAUUUUGUAAGUUUAUUAUGACAUGUGACAGUCCAAAGCACUUUUAUUGACUACACAAAUCAAACUGAGAAACGCACAUUGAUAAUGUGUACUUCCACUUGAACAUGGCCUAAAUUCAUAUGCUACUGAGAUGGUUCCAUGUAGAUUUAGAUUCUGUAAAUUCUAUAACCUAGUGAUGCCCUUGUCUUAUUACAUUGAUUAAAGGAAGUGAACUAGUUUGUUACUGAGCUGACAAAGAGCCGAGCUUCUAGAUUGUAUCUGACUUCAGGUGCUUAUGAAGGCGGCUGAUUUUUUUCAUGGUCUAAUUAAAAUUGUACCAUAAUUCUUUUACCCAUUUUUCAUUUUCGUUUUGCCAUUUGCUUGCGUAUGUGCCCUAUGGGUUAGUGUUGUUGAUCCCUAGCAUGAGCUUGGUUGCCCUGAACUUCAGAAUUCUAUUUUCUUGCUUCUCAGUCCCUCUCCCUCCCUGCAGGUGCUACCGGACGCAAGGGUGGAGAAUGCGCCUCCUUGCCGAAGCUUCUCGCUCUAGCGGUCUGGUGCUGGUGAUCUCAGCCCGUAUAGAUGGAUUGGCCAGCAGCUGUGUAUACGGCAGCGGUGCUGCUGUACUACUACACCUAUGAUCCAAUCUAAAGUGCUGGUCCCAAGACUCUGAACUAGCCAAGAAGCAGGAGAGGACGAGAGAGCAACUUCGCUGUGUGCAGCAGCCCUACAAACCCUUUCUACUAUGACCUGAUGAAGCCAUGAUGCUUACCUCGCUGGAGCGUAUCAACCCUAGCCAUGGUACCACAUUCUUAGUCAUGAGGUCACUGUGCUACAACCACAACAACGAUAUCUUCUCCAGUUAGAUAAGUCUUCGGUCUAUCCCAUUAUUUUCUGUUACUUGGUUUUGAGAUGCUUAUUUUGGGACGAAGGGAGUAUUAUUGUGUCGAUUCCCUAUGUGAUAUAGAAGCUAUGGUAUUUUGUUUUGAGUCUGUUGUAAUUGAUAAUGAUUUGUGUAAAAUUAGUGUAGAACAUAUGUCCUGUUAUCUUAAGUCAUUUGUGCAUGCUCAAUGAACCAUCUGAGAUUGAAUCAUUUUUUGCGUUCAACAUCUAGAACCAUUCUGUCCGUGUUGGUAUUCAUGCUACAACUGUGCUUUCUUGUCUCUUGUGUUGCGUGGUCCUUGUGGUUGUUACUGUUACAUGUACAUAUGCUUCAUGAUUCAGUCCCUAGCUGCUUUGUAUGUUUGUUUUUAUUCUGUUUCUAACUCCUUUUGUUUAUUGUUAGAUGCCUUUGUUCAGCCUCUGCAAACAAGAGCUCCAACCUGAAAGUGAAGAAAGCAGAAGUAUACCUGUAGAGCUAGUUAUAUGUUGUGAUAGUAUCUUGGUGAAAUGUACUAUGUAAAGAUUGUGCUAUUAGCCAAAAUUGGCAUGUGUAUUGAUAAUUUCCAUCUGUUAACUGUUCUCAAUGAAAUAUUGCUUCAAAUUAUGGAAA
Long non-coding RNA from Aegilops tauschii subsp. strangulata, 2463 nucleotides. RefSeq lists it as uncharacterized. The record is from RefSeq and is a predicted model, not a curated record. Lineage: Eukaryota; Viridiplantae; Streptophyta; Magnoliopsida; Poales; Poaceae.